Molecule: ribosomal RNA, 495 nt
Filed under: uncultured bacterium
Lineage: Bacteria
Description: partial 16S ribosomal RNA
Rfam family: Bacterial small subunit ribosomal RNA
Source: RNAcentral
GAUGAACGCUGGCGGCGUGCCUAAUACAUGCAAGUAGAACGCUGAAGGAGGAGCUUGCUCUUCUGGAUGAGUUGCGAACGGGUGAGUAACGCGUAGGUAACCUGCCUGGUAGCGGGGGAUAACUAUUGGAAACGAUAGCUAAUACCGCAUGACAACAGUUAUUGCAUGAUAACUGUUUAAAAGGGGCAACUGCUCCACUACCAGAUGGACCUGCGUUGUAUUAGCUAGUUGGUGAGGUAACGGCUCACCAAGGCGACGAUACAUAGCCGACCUGAGAGGGUGAUCGGCCACACUGGGACUGAGACACGGCCCAGACUCCUACGGGAGGCAGCAGUAGGGAAUCUUCGGCAAUGGACGGAAGUCUGACCGAGCAACGCCGCGGGAGUGAAGAAGGGUUUCGGAUCGGAAAGCUCUGUUGUAAGAGAAGAACGAGUGUGAGAGUGGAAAGUUCACACUGUGACGGUAUCUAACCAGAAAGGGACGGCUAACUACGUG